RNAcentral lists this non-coding RNA (192 nucleotides) under Lysinibacillus telephonicus. RNAcentral describes it as "6S / SsrS RNA". It matches the Rfam family "6S / SsrS RNA". Rfam says of the family: E. coli 6S RNA was the first non coding RNA to be sequenced, but its function was unknown until recently. Lineage: Bacteria; Bacillati; Bacillota; Bacilli; Caryophanales; Bacillaceae. The record is from Rfam by way of RNAcentral.
CGAAUCCUGAAAUGUUUGAAAAGCUUUUAACUGUUUUGACCGAACAAUAAAUCGUAGGGAACCCAUAUUUUGUCUUGGCAAACAAGCCCUGCAACUGGACGAGGGAAGUUUAAAGAGACGAAGCGGGUACCCACCUGCAAGGGAAGCGGGUUCAAAACGAUGUUGUCAGCAUGCGGCAUAUUUGGGAUUCGU